GACGAACGCUGGCGGCGUGCUUAACACAUGCAAGUCGAACGGAAAGGCCCUGCUUUUGUGGGGUGCUCGAGUGGCGAACGGGUGAGUAACACGUGAGUAACCUGCCCUUGACUUUGGGAUAACUUCAGGAAACUGGGGCUAAUACCGGAUAGGAGCUCCUGCUGCAUGGUGGGGGUUGGAAAGUUUCGGCGGUUGGGGAUGGACUCGCGGCUUAUCAGCUUGUUGGUGGGGUAGUGGCUUACCAAGGCUUUGACGGGUAGCCGGCCUGAGAGGGUGACCGGCCACAUUGGGACUGAGAUACGGCCCAGACUCCUACGGGAGGCAGCAGUGGAGAAUAUUGCACAAUGGGCGGAAGCCUGAUGCAGCAACGCCGCGUGCGGGAUGACGGCCUUCGGGUUGUAAACCGCUUUCGCCUGUGACGAAGCGUGAGUGACGGUAAUGGGUAAAGAAGCACCGGCUAACUACGU
Molecule: ribosomal RNA, 467 nt
Filed under: uncultured bacterium
Lineage: Bacteria
Description: partial 16S ribosomal RNA
Rfam family: Bacterial small subunit ribosomal RNA
Source: RNAcentral